GGACGUUUACCACGGUGUGGUUCAUGACUGGGGUGAAGUCGUAACAAGGUAGCCGUAGGGGAACCUGCGGCUGGAUCACCUCCUUACA
Molecule: ribosomal RNA, 88 nt
Filed under: Legionella pneumophila
Lineage: Bacteria; Pseudomonadati; Pseudomonadota; Gammaproteobacteria; Legionellales; Legionellaceae
Also listed under: 1 other name
Description: partial 16S ribosomal RNA
Rfam family: Bacterial small subunit ribosomal RNA
Source: RNAcentral